GCCCGGUUAGCUCAAUCGGUAGAGCGUGAGACUCUUAAUCUCAAGGUUGCGGGUAAGUUACUUAACUUGGACUUGAGAUUGUGAUGAGAUUCGAAAUGAAACUAACAAAAUCAUGAACAGGUUCGACCCCCGCAUCGGGCU
This is a non-coding RNA of Xylariaceae sp. FL0594, 141 nucleotides long. NCBI's taxonomy places the organism in Eukaryota, Fungi, Ascomycota, Sordariomycetes, Xylariales, Xylariaceae. The record is from the annotation of a GenBank genome assembly.